CCUACGGGUGGCUGCAGUGGGGAAUAUUGGACAAUGGGCGAAAGCCUGAUCCAGCCAUGCCGCGUGUGUGAAGAAGGCCUUCGGGUUGUAAAGCACUUUCAGUGGGGAAGAAAGCCUUGGGGCUAAUACCCUCGAGGAAGGACAUCACCCACAGAAGAAGCACCGGCUAACUCCGUGCCAGCAGCCGCGGUAAUACGGAGGGUGCGAGCGUUAAUCGGAAUUACUGGGCGUAAAGCGCGUGUAGGCGGUCUGAUAAGCCGGUUGUGAAAGCCCCGGGCUCAACCUGGGAACGGCAUCCGGAACUGUCAGGCUAGAGUGCAGGAGAGGAAGGUAGAAUUCCCGGUGUAGCGGUGAAAUGCGUAGAGAUCGGGAGGAAUACCAGUGGCGAAGGCGGCCUACUGGACUGACACUGACGCUGAGGUGCGAAAGCGUGGGUAGCAAACAGGAUUAGAUACCCUGGUAGUC
This 465-nucleotide ribosomal RNA is filed under the name Vreelandella stevensii. RNAcentral describes it as "partial 16S ribosomal RNA". It matches the Rfam family "Bacterial small subunit ribosomal RNA", at positions 338 to 795 of the family's 1533-position model. Lineage: Bacteria; Pseudomonadati; Pseudomonadota; Gammaproteobacteria; Oceanospirillales; Halomonadaceae. The record is from RNAcentral.